CGCAACUGUAUGUCACUCAUCUUGAAUGAUUCAGGAACUUACAAUACUGAAUAAUAGCAGCCUACUAUUGGGCAUGAAGAGUUCUGCGGGUUUGUUUUGCUUUUCAAAACGGGCGUGUUUAGAAUUAUUGUCUUUUUUAUUCUACAGAUGCCUCAACGGUCGAUGGAGAAAUGUGCCCGCCUUUGACUGCUUAAUACAAAGUGUUCGGGCUUCAGUGCUGUAAAAUAAUCAAUGGAUUGCAUAAGUCCCAUGCAGAAUAAGAGAAGACAUAGUGGAGACCUGGAGCAGUGGCACAACCAGUCGAAAAGGCAGUGUAAUGGACUCGGAGGCCGUGUCCAGGUGGAAUAUGGUGCGGUAAUGGACACUCCAGUGGACACGCGGGAUACCCAAAAUCACAGCCCUCAAAAUGGACAUGGUGCCAACAUCCCCGGCAUGCAGGUGUUACCCGCCCCAGGACGUGGGGCAGGACAGUAUUGCCCCAGGUGUAUGGCAGGUGAACCUGGCCAUAUAAACCACAUCAUGAGGUAUUGAUCAGCAUUGCCGAUGGCUCCUGGAGAAAAUGAAUCGACUGAAUAAACGGCCGAUAUAGAGAAGCAAUCUGCAGUUUAUCCGUACCGUGUGGGGUUUUCCCGCAUGCUUUGUGCCUUCCAUGCAUUUCCCUAAUCUCCUCACCUAGUACUGUUUUACCUACAGUAGUAUCUAUUACUGUUUUGUAGCAAUGAGGUUUACAUUACCAAGGACACUCCGGUGAUAGAAAAAGCAAUGAUCGAUGGUGUAGAUCACACUUUUAGUGAAGUGUGUUGAGUGCGUGUUGCAUGGUUUUGAUUUUCAAGAAGGAAUUACUGCUGUAAAUGCAGUGUUAGCAAAGUCAGUGAAACUAUAUGCAUAAAUCUUCUUUUAGACUUUUUCUAAAUAAUGAAAGCAAUUUCAGGAUUAAAUGUUAUUUCACAUGUAGAUUUUUUUAAGUAUGUUCGUGGUUUAAUAUUUCAGUUACAUUUAAUUUGGUCAUUAAUGCCCAGAAAUGUAUGUCAGCUUCAUCGGAAGGAUAUUUUUGUAGAUAUAUUGUGACUGGUUUGUUCUUCUGUUAUUAGAUUUAUCUUUUGUUUUGUUUUCCUUUAAAACCUUAUUGAUUGUUGAAAACAUUUCAGUGCAUUCGGUAAUUUAACCUAUUUGUAUCCUUUUUAAACCAAUCCAGAAUAUUUUGCAUAAAGUCUAAUUUGAUUAAAGAUUUUGUGUUUUGUGUUUUCUUUAGAGUCAAUUCAGGCUCUUCAAAA
Molecule: long non-coding RNA, 1274 nt
Filed under: Sinocyclocheilus grahami
Lineage: Eukaryota; Metazoa; Chordata; Actinopteri; Cypriniformes; Cyprinidae
Description: lncRNA (ENSSGRG00000049246.1)
Source: RNAcentral